RNAcentral lists this long non-coding RNA (873 nucleotides) under Eucalyptus grandis. RNAcentral describes it as "long non-coding RNA (EGRA_LNC004312)". The record is from RNAcentral. Lineage: Eukaryota; Viridiplantae; Streptophyta; Magnoliopsida; Myrtales; Myrtaceae.
UUCGAGUGUCCAUUUCUCGCCUCAACUUGCCUCACUGUUUUUUUUUUAUGUUAAUUCCUCUUGACAGGUCCUUCCUUUUCCUUUGGAAAAACGACUCAUCAGAAACUUAUCCAUGUAUCCAUAUCUCCUCGUUUCCAUUUCACCAGUCCUCUAAACGAGGAUAUCCAGGCGAAAUUCACACGUAGGCAACGGAGAAAAACUGAAAAGGUUUUGUAGGUUUUCUUCUGGUCAGCUGAUCUGUGGGCUGGGGAUGAGAUGAAGGUACGCAAAGAGAGAUUAAAACCUUUCGCCAUGUAUAUCUAGAGAAGCGGUAUCCUCAAUAAAACCUUUUGCGAUAUUCACAUUCCGCGAGUGAUUAAUUUACCAGGUGAUUCUUGAAUUAACUCAGCAAGGAUGAACUCACCAGAUUGUUGGAUUCGAGGAUCAUCGUAUGAGGAUCACGGGGUCUUGUCUGCUAGAAACAAACUGCUUGUAUGCAAACUGCGUUGGCGUGCUUUAACACUUUUCAGAACCUUCGUAAUACAGUUUAGCAUCAUGGGCCUGUGUCCAAGAGUAAAAGAUUCUAAGGCAUUUGGUUCAUAAUGAAUCGAGGUAGGUAGUAGCAUACCUGUCUCUGACUAAGAUUACGUGAUAUCUUCACCUUUAAUUGGUAGUUUCAAAUAUAUUAGGUUGAUAUUUGCUCUUAUUUUUCAAACGUCUCUAGCGUUGGCAUUCCUAUAAGUCUCCAUAGAAGCCGAAAGUGAUGCUUUUAAUGGUUCACGUAUAGGGCUUUGGGUAAUAUGGUAUGCAUGUGCCAAUUAGGUGUGGGACAAGACCAUGGAACUGUGUCAUGGAACUGUCCCAUGGACCCAUACCUACUUCUUUCACUGUCCU